This 91-nucleotide ribosomal RNA is filed under the name Pseudohongiella sp. The record is from RNAcentral. Lineage: Bacteria; Pseudomonadati; Pseudomonadota; Gammaproteobacteria; Pseudomonadales; Pseudohongiellaceae.
CACCUGAUCCCAUCCCGAACUCAGAAGUGAAACCGCUCAGCGCCGAUGGUAGUGUGGGGUCUCCCCAUGUGAGAGUAGGUCAUCGUCAGGC